Molecule: ribosomal RNA, 497 nt
Filed under: uncultured bacterium
Lineage: Bacteria
Description: partial 16S ribosomal RNA
Rfam family: Bacterial small subunit ribosomal RNA
Source: RNAcentral
GAUGAACGCUGGCGGCGUGCCUAAUACAUGCAAGUCUAGCGAACGGACGAGAAGCUUUCUUCUCUGAUGUUAGCGGCGGACGGGUGAGUAAUACGUGGAUAACCUACCUAUAAGACUGGGAUAACUUCGGGAAACCGGAGCUAAUACCGGAUAAUAUUUUGAACCGCAUGGUUCAAAAGUGAAAGACGGUCUUGCUGUCACUUAUAGAUGGAUCCUCGCUGCAUUAGCUAGUUGGUAAGGUAACGGCUUAACAAGGCAACGAUGCGUAGCUGACCUGAGAGGAUGAUCGGCCACACUGGAACUGAGACACGGUCCAGACUCCUACGGGAGACAGCAGUAGGGAAUCUUCCGCAAUGGGCGAAAGCCUGACGGAGCAAAGCCGCGUGAGUGAUGAAGGUCUUCGGAUCGUAAAACCCUGUUAUUAGGGAAGAACAUAAGUGUAAGUAACUGUGCACAUCUUGACGGUACCUAAACAAAAAGCCACGGCUAACUACGUG